Molecule: ribosomal RNA, 440 nt
Filed under: uncultured bacterium
Lineage: Bacteria
Description: partial 16S ribosomal RNA
Rfam family: Bacterial small subunit ribosomal RNA
Source: RNAcentral
CCUACGGGCGGCAGCAGUAGGGAAUAUUGCACAAUGGGGGAAACCCUGAUGCAGCAACGCCGCGUGGAUGAAGAAGGUUUUCGGAUUGUAAACUCCUUUUGUUAGAGAAGAUAGUGACGGAAUCUAACGCUUAAGCACCGGAUAUUUCCGUGCCAGCAGCCGCGGUAAUACGGAGGGCGCAAGCGUUACUCGGAAUCACUGGGCGUAAAGAGCACGUAGGCGGGUUAGCAAGUCAGAUGUGAAAUCCUAUGGCUUAACCAUAGAACUGCAUUUGAAACUGGUAGUCUAGAGUAUGGGAGAGGUAGGUGGAAUUCCUGGUGUAGGGGUGAAAUGCGUAGAGAUCUGGAGGAAUACUCGUGGCGAAGGCGACCCGCUGGAACAUAACUGACGCUGAGGUGCGAAAGCGUGGGGAGCAAACAGGAUUAGAUACCCGAGUAGUC